RNAcentral lists this ribosomal RNA (253 nucleotides) under uncultured bacterium. Its description in RNAcentral is "partial 16S ribosomal RNA". It matches the Rfam family "Bacterial small subunit ribosomal RNA", at positions 524 to 776 of the family's 1533-position model. The record is from RNAcentral.
UACGUAGGGGGCUAGCGUUGUCCGGAUUUAUUGGGCGUAAAGAGCGUGUAGGCGGCCAGGUAGGUCCGGUGUGAAAACUCGAGGCUUAACCUCGAGAUGUCAUCGGAAACCAUCUGGCUAGAGUCCGGAAGAGGAAAGUGGAAUUCCUGGUGUAGCGGUGAAAUGCGCAGAUAUCAGGAAGAACACCUAUGGCGAAGGCAGCUCGCUGGGACGGUACUGACGCUGAGACGCGAAAGCGUGGGGAGCAAACAGG